This 87-nucleotide transfer RNA is filed under the name Pseudomonadota bacterium. RNAcentral's name for it is "tRNA-Ser". It matches the Rfam family "tRNA". Rfam says of the family: Transfer RNA (tRNA) molecules are approximately 80 nucleotides in length. Their secondary structure includes four short double-helical elements and three loops (D, anti-codon, and T loops). RNAcentral also lists the same sequence under 1 other name. The record is from RNAcentral. Lineage: Bacteria; Pseudomonadati; Pseudomonadota.
GGAGAGGUGCCGGAGUGGUUGAACGGGCUCGUCUCGAAAAUGAGUAUAGCCGCAAGGCUAUCGAGGGUUCGAAUCCCUCCCUCUCCG